Molecule: ribosomal RNA, 790 nt
Filed under: uncultured bacterium
Lineage: Bacteria
Description: bacterial SSU rRNA
Rfam family: Bacterial small subunit ribosomal RNA
Source: RNAcentral
AGAGUUUGAUCAUGGCUCAGAUUGAACGCUGGCGGCAUGCCUUACACAUGCAAGUCGAACGCGAAAGGGGGCAACCCCGAGUAGAGUGGCGAACGGGUGAGUAAUGCAUCGGAACAUUUCCUGUAGCGGGGGACAACCUCGAGAAAUCGAGGCUAAUACCGCAUACGAUCUUCGGAUGAAAGUGGGGGACCGCAAGGCCUCACACUAUAGGAGUGGCCGAUGCCGGAUUAGCUAGUUGGCGGGGUAAAAGCCCACCAAGGCGACGAUCCGUAGCUGGUCUGAGAGGACGACCAGCCACACUGGGACUGAGACACGGCCCAGACUCCUACGGGAGGCAGCAGUGGGGAAUUUUGGACAAUGGGCGCAAGCCUGAUCCAGCCAUGCCGCGUGAGUGAAGAAGGCCUUCGGGUUGUAAAGCUCUUUCGGCCGGGACGAAAUCGCGCGGGCGAAUAUCCCGCGUGGAUGACGGUACCGGAAGAAGAAGGACCGGCUAACUACGUGCCAGCAGCCGCGGUAAUACGUAGGGUCCGAGCGUUAAUCGGAAUUACUGGGCGUAAAGCGUGCGCAGGCGGUUCGCAAAGACAGGUGUGAAAUCCCCGGGCUUAACCUGGGAACUGCGCUUGUAACUAGCGGGCUAGAGUGCGGCAGAGGGGGGUGGAAUUCCACGUGUAGCAGUGAAAUGCGUAGAGAUGUGGAGGAACACCGAUGGCGAAGGCAGCCCCCUGGGCUAGCACUGACGCUCAUGCACAAAAGCGUGGGGAGCAAACAGGAUUAGAUACCCUAGUAGUCC